GAGCGGCUGGCAAAGCGCCCAGGGGAAGAGUUCACUCUCUUUUCUUGAGCGGGUCGGGAGGUUUCCCUCCCGGCUGGCCCUGUCCAACCCAACCCACCCCAAACCAAAACCACUCUGAAGCAACAGUGGGCAGCCCUCGCGGCCCCACGCCAAAACCAAUGACAACUCUCAACAACGGAUAUCUUGGCUCCCGCAUCGAUGAAGAACGCAGCGAAAUGCGAUACGUAGUGUGAAUUGCAGAAUUCCGUGAACCAUCGAAACUUUGAACGCAAAUUGCGCCCGCGUCUUCGGACAAGGGCAUGUCUGCCUCAGCGUCGGCGUACCCCCUCGUCCCCACUUUCUGUGUGGCACGGACCUGGCCCUCCCAGUGCGAAAGCUCUGGGUCGGCUGAAGCGGAGAGGCUUGAGCGGCGACCCCGAUACAAAGGGCAAGAGCUUGGUAGGUAGGCACCCCCUGCACGCCUGCUGUUGCCCCAGGAGCUGCCGCUGGGAGCCGAAAGCAGGGUCCCCGGGAGAGCGCAAACCCUCCCGGUCACCACGGCCCUCACUUCCA
RNAcentral lists this ribosomal RNA (552 nucleotides) under uncultured Chlorophyta. RNAcentral's name for it is "eukaryotic LSU rRNA". The stretch from base 164 to 317 matches the Rfam family "5.8S ribosomal RNA". The record is from RNAcentral. Lineage: Eukaryota; Viridiplantae; Chlorophyta.